GCUGGUGUGGCUCUGUGGUUGAGCGUCUAUCUAUGAACCAGGAGGUGGCAGUUCGAUUCUGAUCAAGGGCA
Molecule: transfer RNA, 71 nt
Filed under: Myotis lucifugus (little brown bat)
Lineage: Eukaryota; Metazoa; Chordata; Mammalia; Chiroptera; Vespertilionidae
Rfam family: tRNA
About the family: Transfer RNA (tRNA) molecules are approximately 80 nucleotides in length. Their secondary structure includes four short double-helical elements and three loops (D, anti-codon, and T loops). Further hydrogen bonds mediate the characteristic L-shaped molecular structure. tRNAs have two regions of fundamental functional importance: the anti-codon, which is responsible for specific mRNA codon recognition, and the 3' end, to which the tRNAs corresponding amino acid is attached (by aminoacyl-tRNA synthetases). tRNAs cope with the degeneracy of the genetic code in two manners: having more than one tRNA (with a specific anti-codon) for a particular amino acid; and 'wobble' base-pairing, i.e. permitting non-standard base-pairing at the 3rd anti-codon position.
Source: Rfam by way of RNAcentral